Cucurbita pepo subsp. pepo (vegetable marrow) is the source of this 429-nucleotide non-coding RNA. Lineage: Eukaryota; Viridiplantae; Streptophyta; Magnoliopsida; Cucurbitales; Cucurbitaceae. The record is from RefSeq and is a predicted model, not a curated record.
GGAAUUUAAUUUUGGGUUCUAAGUAAAACAUAGCUUUUAACCCAACCCUAGCCUGUGGAGCGACCAAAGGAAUUACACACAAAAUUGCUGCCCUAGAUCUCUAAUUGCAUUUUUCUUGCUUGCAUAUCUUUAUCGGAACCUCCGAUUUCGUUUCUCCGCGUGGAGAUGGCGGAGAAUUUUGAAUUCUUCACAGUCGACUCGAUCGAUUCUCUCUCCACUUCUGUGCGUUCUCACUCGAUGUUGAAGUUUUCGUAAUCCUUCGUAAUCCUCCGUAAUAAUCUAGAGUUCUAUUUCUUCCUUUUGGUUGGCGGAUGGAGCCUCGCGUUGGGAAUAAGUUUCGCCUUGGCCGGAAGAUCGGUAGCGGCUCGUUCGGGGAGAUCUAUCUUGGUACUAAUAUACAGACGAAUGAAGAGGUUGCAAUUAAACUUG